AUGGGUGACGAUGAUGAUGUUAAGAAAAAACGACAUCUACGCAAUCGUCGUUCAAAAACGCGUCCGAACAACAGCAUCUCAAAUCAAUCGGUUUCCGUAACUGCCACCAACAAGGCAUUGCCAUCUUUGCCGGUCGAAGUCAUGACCGAGAUCUUCCUGAGAUUUUCCGUAAGAUCCCUCCAUCAAUUAAGAGCCAUUGUUGAAAAAUCAAUCAAGAGAUCCAACCCCUAA
Non-coding RNA from Vicia faba (fava bean), 231 nucleotides. The record is from the annotation of a GenBank genome assembly. NCBI's taxonomy places the organism in Eukaryota, Viridiplantae, Streptophyta, Magnoliopsida, Fabales, Fabaceae.